AUGUUGACCAGAAGACUGCAGCAAGGAUGCAGCAGCGCUCUUCUGCUCGCGUUCCUCCUCGUCGCCAACGCGUCAGGCACCUUCUCUGAAGAGCAAGAAGCUGAGGGGAGCAAGAGGCGGUCGCUGGCGACGGGGCAGUUCUGCGUGGCAAAGCAGGGCGCGGACCCGACGGCGCUGCAGACUGGGCUCAACUACGCGUGCGGCCCCGGCCACGCCGACUGCGGCCCGAUCCAGCCCGGCGGCAAGUGCUACAAGGCCAACGACCUGCCGGGGCUCGCCUCCUACGCCUACAACGACUACUACCAGCGCAACGCCGCCUCCGGCGCCAGCUGCAACUUCAGCGGCACCGCCAUGACCACCCAAAACGACCCCAGCUCGGGGCAGUGCGUCUUCGCGGGAAGCUCCAUGUCGGGAGGCUCCAACGGCACGACGCCGGCGGCGAGCGCCCCUACCAGCCUCUUCCCGCCGUCGACCUUCACGCCGGGCUUCGGAGGGGGCCCCACCAGCUCCUUGACCCCUCUGGGGGACGACGCGUGA
This 537-nucleotide ribosomal RNA is filed under the name Triticum aestivum (bread wheat). RNAcentral describes it as "partial small subunit ribosomal RNA". The record is from RNAcentral. Lineage: Eukaryota; Viridiplantae; Streptophyta; Magnoliopsida; Poales; Poaceae.